AUACCUCCGACUCGUAGCGUUGCCUCGGCGGAUUCAGGGACGAUGGGCUCGUACGGCGGCGGGAAGAGGGAGGACAGCCGGUUCGCGUGGAACGUCUUCGACGGCGUCAAGGCCUUCCCUCCUCCUACGCCGGAAGCCCUCAUGGAUGACAUCGACGCCGCCAUCUCCGCCCUCGAAUACACCCGAUCUACCGCCGCUCUACUAGCCUCCUCUUCUUCCAAGGUGGAGGAGGAGGCGGCGCCAGAAUCCGAGAUUGAUCAGCCUCCCGGCACCUCUUCGGAGCCGGUCUACGACAAGCGGAUAGCGGACGAGGCGUACAAGGCGGCGUGCGCCGCCCUAGCCGCCGGGAAGCCCGACGCCGCCAUCAGGUCGCUCCACGUGGCUCUCGCCAGCUGUCCUCCGGAAAAGACCACGGCUCUCGCCAAACUCCGCUCCCUCCUCGACCUCGCCUCCUCUCAGCAGCAAAAGCAGAAACCACAGCAUUAGCAACAGCUUCAGAUGGAUGAUUUAUCAAUCUAGUUUCAAUAUCUUGUAGCUGAUGGCGAUCUUUUCAAAUUACAUGACCAGGGAUAUUUCUGUUGACAUCCUUCAUGAGGGUUCAACUGCCCACUUGCGUCGAUAUUGAUUCUGAAAACAAAUGCAGCUCCCAUCCGAUAUCUCUGAGUCCCUUCCAGAACUCAUCAAGGUUGCUUGGGUGCAGGGUUUUACAGCUCCUACCUCAGUAAUGCCUCUUCUUUGAGCUCAGUAGAUGAUUCGUGGCAGUGACCUUGAUCGAAAAGAGUAUAUGUUCUCUCCCUUCAUCAGGUGAUAUUACUAGUGAUUCGAAGUCGAGCAAUGCAGGCCAAGUUUGAGCCCACAGAGGGUUUAAGACAUCGGUUGCAGUAAAGAUCUUAGGAAGCUGGUGGGAGCUUUCCACGGAGGAAACUGGAGAACAUCAACAAUGCUCGCUCAGGUUGGUAGGUCGGAACCAUGUGCCCUGCUCCCUUUACCGUAACAAGCGUCAGUCCUCCAUAACCAACGACAUAGCCUCCUACCUGAUAACAUAUAUCCAAAAGUUACAGAAGCAUCAGAUCUGAAUCUAGACCCUAUGUCUACACAUCAUAGUUCUUCAGAUUCUUUCGUCUUAUCCAAACCUUAUUUGAGAUCGAUGACAGAUUGCCAUUUACCUGUUUGUCGGAAUACCACGCACGCCAUGGGUUCUUGAUCGGCAACUUCAUGAUUUUGAUCGCCUUAAACGUGCCUUUGUACGGGCAUACCAUAUCGGUAUCACCACUGUGAGACAUCCGAAUAGCAAGAAAGACAACUAUGACUUUAUGCGUGUAGAUUUUGACGAGAAGGAAAAGGAAUGCUAAAGCAAGGAUAAGAGGACCUGAACAGCCACACCCUCAACCCACUGUUGACGAGCUGCUUCAUGACCGGCAAUGUGCUCGUAGGACUGUCAUUCCAAGGGAGAUCACUGCAAGAUACUCGAACAAGGAAAGGUCAGCGUGUGUAAAGGUUUCAUCCGCUCAUGCUGAUCUUUAAAACAGACACAGAGACAAGCAAUCAGUACGUGCAAGAACUCCAUGGUCCAUCAAUCUUGGUAACAUUCGCAUGAAGAGCCUUUUGCACCUCAGGAUCGUUCAGGAAUGGAUAUCUUACCGCUACGCCAGACUCGGAAGAACUGUUGGAGCCAACGCAAACGGGAGCAUAGACAUUGUAAGGAUCGAUGUUUCCGGUCUCUGCAGCAACAGCAGCUGUAGCUUUGUUGCACUCUUCGUUUAUGAUGGCAGAGAAGUUGCAGAAUCGACGAGUUCUAGCAAAUGUCUCAUCGGAUAUUAGUGCGUGACUCCACAAAAACUCGUACCUUGCUUCGCUGUUGGUUACUUCAUCAACAUAAGCGUUCCCAAUCUAGGAGGAAACAUCACACAUGUCGUAUCGGUUGAGCUGUAGCAGACGAGCCAAGACUCUCGUGAGAUCAGAUUCACUUACUGCAAUGGCACUGAGGUUGAUGAGAGUCCGGUUGGCGAGCUUGUUGCGGUGCAGUAUGAGCGAGGCGAGUUGGGGGACGUAGUGGCCGGCGUAACUCUCCCCGGCGAUGAAGAACUUGCGAUUCUUGUAGUGGGGGAAUCUCUCCAGCCAGUUUAGCAGAAAGGUGAAUGUAUCUUCCGCGGUCCUCUUGUCUCCGCUUUGAUCAUAAUCUGUGGUAGUAUUCGAGUACGAGAAGCCAACCCCUGCUGGGGAUUCCAAGAAGAGCACAUUGGCCACUGUCACAGUUGCAGCCGGUAAUCAUCAGAACAUGGUCCAAGUGCUCAAGAUUGAAGUAGAAGAACCUCCCAUUACCUUCAUUCCAAGCAUAAGGAUUUCUUUCGAGCGUUUUGCCAUCGCUUUUGACUCUGAAAGGGCCGAGUUCUUCCAUGGCUCCGUAUGCCAGAGAGGAGCACCCUGGCCCUGCAAUCAGAGAACACAUAUAUGAUCGAGAUCAUCCUAGGAAAACGAAGCUGUAGGAGGUCCAAAAUCCAACGGCAAGGCAUGCAGAUCACCUCCAUUAAGCCACAAGACGAGAGGCUUGGACGAAGACCUGUGAGGGGACUCGACGAAGUAGUAGAACAGUGCCCUCCCCUUCUUCGGGUCAACCGUCACGUGCCCUGCAUACUGAUCGAAGUCAACGCCGCCGGGUUGCCCCGGCAAUGCUGUGAUCUUAUCGGCGUCCCUCAGCCCAUUCUGAGGGCCGACGUAGACCGGCGAGGAGGCCGAGUCGGCGGCGUCGAGAUCGAGCCAUGGGUCAGGUUGAUCUGACCAUGUCGAUCUCUUGGAUUCAGUCAGCCUUAUUAGUUGCUCAGCCUGAUUCGCUUCGUUGACGUGGAGCAGCGAGACACUGCAGGAGACGAGAAGCAACGUGAUGCAUGCAAACCUCAUAGGCUCUGUUUCCAUGUAGCUUGUCAACGACGAGAGAGAGAGAGAGAGAGAAAGAGAGAGAACUGUAAAGGCCGGCCAACUACUAGUAUUUGGAUAGUCGGUCUUUACUUAGGAAGACAGGUCAUGGGAGAAGAGUAUACCGUUUGAAUACUAUAUAUGACCAAUAUAGCUGUCAUGGGUGCGUUGUGAAAACAUUAUUGAACAUAUGUGUUUACCUAUA
Musa acuminata AAA Group (dessert banana) is the source of this 3118-nucleotide RNA transcript. RefSeq lists it as uncharacterized. NCBI's taxonomy places the organism in Eukaryota, Viridiplantae, Streptophyta, Magnoliopsida, Zingiberales, Musaceae. The transcript is spliced from 6 exons. The record is from RefSeq and is a predicted model, not a curated record.